AUAAUACUCCAUAGAUUAGAGACACUGGAAUGUUCUUUAGUCGAAAGUUCUGGCGCCUUAGGAUGGAUCUGCGGUCGAUUAGGUUGUUGUUGGGGUAACGGCCCAACAAGCCUGUAAUCGAUACGGGUUGUGGGAGCAAGAGCCCGGAGAUGGAAUCUGAGACACGAUUCCAGGCCCUACGGGGCGCAGCAGGCGCGAAAACUUUACAAUGCAGGAAACUGUGAUAAGGGAACUCCGAGUGCCCGUAUACGCGGGCUGUCCAGGUGUUUAAAAAUCAUCUGAAGAAAGGGCCGGGCAAGACCGGUGCCAGCCGCCGCGGUAAUACCGGCGGCUCGAGUGGUGGCCACUAUUAUUGGGCUUAAAGCGUCCGUAGCUGGACCGAUAAGUCUCUUGGGAAAUCCGCCGGCUCAACCGGCGGGCGUCUAAGGGAUACUGUUAGUCUAGGGACCGGGAGAGGUGAGAGGUACUCCGGGGGUAGGAGUGAAAUCCUGUAAUCCCCGGGGGACCACCGAUGGCGAAGGCAUCUCACCAAAACGGCUCCGACAGUGAGGGACGAAAGCUGGGGGAGCGAACCGGAUUAAAUACCCGGGUAGUCCCAGCCGUAAACUAUGCGCGUUAGGUGU
Molecule: ribosomal RNA, 623 nt
Filed under: uncultured archaeon
Lineage: Archaea
Description: bacterial SSU rRNA
Rfam family: Archaeal small subunit ribosomal RNA
Source: RNAcentral